AGAACAAGAUCAAGCCGUUGGAAAGAAGAAUGCGAAAGGCUGAGAAUAUAAGAAAAAAGAGUAAUUCCCUGUCCAGCACUGCUGAGAUUUUGUCUUUCCUUAAAAGGCAACAUAUCCGAAUAGAGGCACUUAUGGCAGUUGUGGACAUCCAUCAAAAGCGGAUCAAUACCCAAGAAGCAAAAAUUCAAAGAUUAUUGAUUAAGACUGGAUCAAUAAAAAAGAAAAGUAAAGAAAAUACUAUUGAAAGGCCAGCAGAUAAAACUGGAUUAUAAACUGUAGUCCUGUCAUAAAACCAACAAAUAUUGAAAUCCUGCAGAACAGUCAGCAAACAGCUGCAUUUGCCUUUUUCAUGGACUUUCCUGCUUGUCUCUCCCUAAACAUACAUGUAUGCAUAGAUAUCAAUUUAUCCUAGUUUUUAUGUGCACUUAUUUGCAUAUGUUCUUUUCUUGCUUAAAG
Molecule: long non-coding RNA, 456 nt
Organism: Xenopus laevis (African clawed frog)
Lineage: Eukaryota; Metazoa; Chordata; Amphibia; Anura; Pipidae
Exons: 4
Source: RefSeq, a predicted model, not a curated record